This 433-nucleotide ribosomal RNA is filed under the name uncultured bacterium. RNAcentral describes it as "partial 16S ribosomal RNA". It matches the Rfam family "Bacterial small subunit ribosomal RNA", at positions 29 to 507 of the family's 1533-position model. The record is from RNAcentral.
AACGAACGCUGGCGGCAUGCCUAACACAUGCAAGUCGAACGAGACCUUCGGGUCUAGUGGCGCACGGGUGCGUAACGCGUGGGAACCUGCCCUUAGAUUCGGAAUAACUCCCCGAAAGGGGUGCUAAUACCGGAUAAUGUCUUCGGACCAAAGAUUUAUCGCCUUUGGGUGGGCCCGGGUUGGCUUGGCUAGUUGGUAGGGUAAAAGCCAACCAAGGCGUCGAUCCAUAGCUGGUCGGAUAGGAUGAUCCGCAACACUGGGGCUGCGACACGGCCUCGACGGCUACGGAAGGGAGCAGUGUGGAAUAUUGGACGAUGGGCGCAGGCCUGGUCCAGCCAUGCCGCGUGAGUGAUGAAUGCGUUAGGGUUGUAAAGCUCUUUUACCCGAGAUGAUAGUGACGGUACCGGGAGAAUAAGCUCCGGCUAACUCCGUG